This 287-nucleotide ribosomal RNA is filed under the name uncultured bacterium. RNAcentral's name for it is "partial 16S ribosomal RNA". It matches the Rfam family "Bacterial small subunit ribosomal RNA", at positions 333 to 617 of the family's 1533-position model. The record is from RNAcentral.
AUAUUCCUACGGGACGCAGCAGUGAGGAAUAUUGGUCAAUGGGAGGAAUCCUGAACCAGCCAUGCCGCGUGCAGGACGACGGCUCUACGAGUUGUAAACUGCUUUUGUACCGGGGUAAAAUGCCUUACGAGUAGGGUUUUGAAAGUACGGUACGAAUAAGCAUCGGCUAACUCCGUGCCAGCAGCCGCGGUAAUACGGAGGAUCCGAGCGUUAUCCGGAUUCAUUGGGUUUAAAGGGUGCGUAGGCUGUUUUAUAAGUUAGCGGUGAAAUACCGAUGCUCAACAUCG